UGCCCCAAUUUUUUAUUUUUCUUUUCUUUUGUUUUUGGUUUCAAUCGAUCUAGGUUAAGCAAGUUUUGCAAGGAUUUCUCACUUGAUUUAGAUUUUUAUUCACAAGGUUCUGAAGAUUUUCUUUUGGAUCAGCAGUUCUUCCGAUGAAGUGAGAGCUUCGUUACUUUUUUUCCUUCUUUGUGAAGUUGUUGCUCUUCUGGUCCUCGGUGUUCUCCGAUUCCGGCUUCUUUCUUCAGUGGAGUGAGAGCUUGGAACCCUAGGAUCGUUAGAUCGGACGGCGGAUCGGCCCAGAAAAUAGAGUUGAGAACCGUUUCUUGGAUAGGAGAGGUGGAAGCUCCUGGAAUUAGCUGGAUCUCUCUCAUUGCCGAAAGCAAUUCCAUUUACUUGGAUCUUAAAUAAGAUUAUCAUCUACCUCAUGUUUGUGAAUCUGCACUGUAAUACUAAUUUGGUAAAAGAUGCCUUUCAUGAUUUUCAAAAGCUUUGGAUUAUAUUGACAAAAUUGUCCUUGUCUUUUCUCCAGGAUGCUUACGGGUACCAUUUAUGGAUUACUGAUGUUUGUCUUUGCUUGUUAAAUUAGAUAGAGAUUGUACCAAUAAGCUGCAACCUUACUUCAGUGAAGCGUGUCCUUUGCAGGCAAAAAUUUUCAAGGUGAAAUUGUUGUUAACAUUGAAAGACUACUCAAGUGCUAUUUCACUAUUUCAGCGACUGGAUACAUACUUAAACAAGAUGAAGAUAAUUUGGAGGCACUACUGCUUCGUGGCCAUUCUUAUUAUUAUCUCUCAGACCAUGAUGUUGCUACAUGGUUUGACUUAUGAAAAUUCCUAUACAGAAUUACAGAUAUAUGUAAAAGGUUUCAAACCUUGUGUCAUAUGUGUACUCUUUUGCACUUUGCUGCAAUGAUGUUCUCCUUUUAUUUAAGCUGCAGUUAUUAGCUCAACUCUGCAGAUUAUCACUUCCAAACAUUUGCAAUGUCUAA
Molecule: non-coding RNA, 976 nt
Organism: Phoenix dactylifera (date palm)
Lineage: Eukaryota; Viridiplantae; Streptophyta; Magnoliopsida; Arecales; Arecaceae
Source: RefSeq, a predicted model, not a curated record